This 1644-nucleotide long non-coding RNA is filed under the name Bemisia tabaci. RNAcentral describes it as "lncRNA ENSSSA3NGG007750". Lineage: Eukaryota; Metazoa; Arthropoda; Insecta; Hemiptera; Aleyrodidae. The record is from RNAcentral.
AUGCGCCUCCUAAAUGUAGAAAUUCCAAAAUAUAGUCGUCAUCGAGAUCCAAUUUACAAUCAUGCAACUCUUAUUCAUCCUGUGGAGUCACAUAUUACCUCUAAGCCAGCCCUCAAAACGCCACAAAAUUCUACAAACCUAUUACCCGAUGAUGGUAAGUUUCUCGAUCAGAGUAGAAUCUCAUCUUCUCCAUUAAUGGAUGUAAAAAAAGAGGAAUGCGUAACGGAAGAGCAACCACCAGAAAAUGGAGACUCAAAGCCUCUCCUGUGCAAUGAAAAAGACUCAGUAGAAAACUGUUCGUUCAUGAGGAGUAUCGUGUUGGAUGAUAAUAAGUUCGACGUGAAGGAAGAAUUCCAGGAGGAAAUUGCUGAACAAGAUCCUUUGCAAAAUUUAGAUGGGAAAGAAAGUAGGUCAAACGGUCCAAUGCAUUGUGGAUUUGUGAAAGAAAUGGUCAAGGAGGAACAUGUUAAAAAUGAACCAUUACUAAAUGAAGAGGAGGAAGUUAUCAAUAUCCUUAAAAGUAAGAUAAAUUGUUCAAUCUUGAAUGGAAAUGAGUCUUCUGGAAACCACUCAACAAAGAAUUUGGAUCAUAAGGGAAACCGUGUUUUCAACUGCCAGAUGAAAUUUUUCAAAACCGUGAAAGAGGUAGCUGAAGAAAACUUGGUAGAAAAGGACUGUUUGCACAGUAAAGAAUGUAAAAAAAAUAGUAUCAUUAAUGAAGAUGUGAAAUUUUGUGAAGUGAUUCAAGAUGAAUCGGAGGAAAAUCACUCACAAAGCAGGAAAUCGGACCUGAGAGAUCAGCGAAUCAACAGUAUCAUUUUCACAGAAAGCUCCAAUUUUAGAAUUAUACCCAGUAAUGAAGCAGUUGAAUCAAAUUUCGCAGAAAUCACUGUAUCUCACAAUGGAGAGCAAAAGGUGAUAAAUAGUGUUAUUUUAAAUGAAACCAGUUUCCGGAAAACUGACUUCGGGCAAGAAGACUCAUUUCGGAAGGAAGGUGGGCAAAUUCUAAAUGGUAUUAUUAUAGAUAAUGGAGUGAACUUUUGUGAAAUCAUGGAACAGGCUGAGUCUGCGGAAGAAGAUUUUGAAGAAACAGACCCUCUCCAUAUCGGAGAAGAAUCUGAUCAGGUUAUAUUCGAUUGUCAGGUUAUGAAUUUUUCCUCCGUGGACCUAGCACUGGGGGCUGGCGAAACUGUUGGGAUAUCUAUUCCUGCUGACUUUGAUGAAGUCUACCGACGGAUUCGUGAUAACAUCGUAGAAACCUCCAAUAUUAUCAACAAUGAUUGGCUUGAGGAUAGUUGUAAGACGAAAUCUGUGAUACCUAGCACUUAUGAUACUCAAACUCAAGAUACUCAAUCGAUAAUGAAGACUGAUAGCUUUAAUGACAGUGUGAGUGCUACUGCUGAAACUGACAAAGCAAUAUCAUCCCAACGUUGUGAAUUCUGUCGUAUCUACUAUGAUUCGAAUAAUUGCCUCUUUUACAUGAAGUUCACAAACGCAAACCUCAAUUUCAAAGAUCGUUGUUGUUUAUGCUGUGAGAAUCCUGAUUCGAGCAUCGCAAAAAAACCCUCCAAUAGUCAUCAAAACAGCAUCAAUCCAGGGUGGUUUGGCAAAGGAUAUCGAAAGAAAAUCAAGAGAAAGAAAUGA